This 2015-nucleotide ribosomal RNA is filed under the name metagenome. Its description in RNAcentral is "bacterial LSU rRNA". It matches the Rfam family "Bacterial large subunit ribosomal RNA", at positions 1 to 2014 of the family's 2925-position model. The record is from RNAcentral.
UUAAAUUUGUAAGGGCGUAUGGUGGAUGCCUUGGCAUUAGAAGCUGAUGAAGGACGUGACUAACUACGAUAUGCUUCGGGGAGAUGUACGUAAUCUUUGAUCCGGAGAUUUCCGAAUGGGGGAACCCACUAGUGGUAAUGCGCUAGUAUCACAUGGUGAAUAUAUAGCCAUGUAGAAAGCAACCCAGUGAACUGAAACAUCUUAGUAACUGGAGGAACAGAAAGAAAAAUCGAUUUCCUUAGUAGUGGCGAGCGAAAUGGAAAGAGCCCAAACCGACUUUAGAGUCGGGGUUGUAGGACCUCUGUAUAAGAGUAAGAAAAUCAUAACAUAGUUGAACUAUUCUGGAAAGUUUGGCGAAACAAGGUGAUAGCCCUGUAAACGAAAUGUUAUGGUCUCUUUGAGGUAUCCUGAGUACAGCGAGACACGUGGAAUCUUGUUGGAAUCUGCGGGGACCAUCCCGCAAGGCUAAAUACUCUCUAAUGACCGAUAGUGAACAAGUACCGUGAGGGAAAGGUGAAAAGAACCCCGGGAGGGGAGUGAAAUAGAACCUGAAACCGUAUGCUUACAAAAAGUUCGAGCACAUUAAUGUGUGAGAGCGUGCCUUUUGCAGAAUGAACCGGCGAGUUAUUGUAUUAUGCAAGGUUAAGUCGAACAGAUGGAGCCGAAGCGAAAGCGAGUCUGAAUAGGGCGCUUAAGUAUGAUGCAAUAGACCCGAAACCGAGUGAUCUAGCCAUGAGCAGGUUGAAGUUGGGGUAAGACCCAAUGGAGGACCGAACCGAUAUGCCCGGAAACGCGUACGGAUGACUUGUGGUUAGCGGAGAAAUUCCAAACGAACUCGGAGAUAGCUGGUUCUCCCCGAAAUAGGUUUAGGCCUAGCCUUGAUUGAAUCUGCCCGGAGGUAGAGCACUGAAUGUGCGAUGGCGUCGUCUAGAUGUACUGAGUACAAUCAAACUCCGAAUGCUGGGUAGUACUAAUCAGGAGUCACUGUAUGGGUGAUAACGUCCAUACGGGAGAGGAAAACAAUCCGGAUCGCCAGCUAAGGUCCCAAAAUUUGUGUUAAGUGGGAAAGGAUGUAGAGUUGUCAAAACAGCUAGGAGGUUGGCUUAGAAGCAGCCACCCUUUAAAGAGUGCGUAAUAGCUCACUAGUCGAGUGACACUGCGCCGAAGAUGUACCGGGGCUAAACACAAUACCGAAGCUGCGGACUUGCACGUAAGUGUAAGUGGUAGGGGAGCGUUCUAAGGGCGUUGAAGGUAGACCGUGAGGACUAUUGGAGCGCUUAGAAGUGAGAAUGCCGGUGUGAGUAACGAAAAUUGGGUGAGAAUCCCAUUCACCGUUUGACUAAGGGUUCCUGGGUAAAGUUCGUCUUCCCAGGGUAAGUCAGGACCUAAGAUGAGGCUGAAAAGCGUAGUCGAUGGACAACAGGUUGAUAUUCCUGUACCACCUAUAUGACUGAAGGAGUGACGGAGAAAGCUAACGAGGGCCAGUUAAUGGAUUCUGGUCUAAGUGCGUAGGCUAGUAUGUUGGCAAAUCCGCAAUACUAUAAUAGCUGAAACAUGAUGGGGAAGUAAGUCUUCGGACGAGCGAACUCUCGUGAUGCUAUGCUUCCAAGAAAAGCUUCUAGGGCUAAUUGUAUAGGUGCCUGUACCGACAACCGACACAGGUGGUCAAGGAGAGUAUCCUAAGGUGAGCGAGAGAACUAUGGUUAAGGAACUCGGCAAAAUGACCCCGUAACUUCGGGAGAAGGGGUGGUCUAGCGAUAGACCCGCAGUGAAUAGGCCCAGGCAACUGUUUACCAAAAACACAGGUCUCUGCUAACACGAAAGUGGAUGUAUAGGGGCUGACGCCUGCCCAGUGCUGGAAGGUUAAAGAGAUUAGUUAGUAUGACGUAAGUCGAUAAUACGAAGCUUUGAACUGAAGCCCCAGUGAACGGCGGCCGUAACUAUAACGGUCCUAAGGUAGCGAAAUUCCUUGUCAGGUAAGUUCUGACCCGCACGAAAGGCGUAAUGAUCUGGGU